RNAcentral lists this ribosomal RNA (253 nucleotides) under uncultured bacterium. RNAcentral's name for it is "partial 16S ribosomal RNA". It matches the Rfam family "Bacterial small subunit ribosomal RNA", at positions 524 to 776 of the family's 1533-position model. The record is from RNAcentral.
UACGUAGGGUGCAAGCGUUGUCCGGAAUUAUUGGGCGUAAAGCGCGCGCAGGUGGUUUCUUAAGUCUGAUGUGAAAGCCCACGGCUCAACCGUGGAGGGUCAUUGGAAAUUGGGGAACUUGAGUGCAGGAGAGAAGAGUGGAAUUCCACGUGUAGCGGUGAAAUGCGUAGAGAUGUGGAGGAACACCAGUGGCGAAGGCGACUCCUUGGCCUGUAACUGACACUGAGGCGCGAAAGCGUGGGGAGCAAACAGG